CACGUAGGGGGCAAGCGUUGUCCGGAUUUAUUGGGCGUAAAGGGCGCGUAGGCGGCGCAACAAGUCACUUGUGAAAUCUCCGGGCUUAACCCGGAGCGGCCAAGUGAUACUGUCGUGCUAGAGUGCGGAAGGGGCUACUGGAAUUCUCGGUGUAGCGGUGAAAUGCGUAGAUAUCAAGAGGAACACCUGCGGCGAAGGCGGGUUGCUGGGCUGAUACUGACGCUGAGGCGCGAAAGCUAGGGGAGCGAACGGG
Molecule: ribosomal RNA, 253 nt
Filed under: uncultured bacterium
Lineage: Bacteria
Description: partial 16S ribosomal RNA
Rfam family: Bacterial small subunit ribosomal RNA
Source: RNAcentral